GGGUCUGUAGCUCAGUCGGUUAGAGCACCGUCUUGAUAAGGCGGGGGUCGUUAGUUCGAAUCCAACCAGACCCACCA
Molecule: transfer RNA, 77 nt
Filed under: Burkholderia sp. MS389
Lineage: Bacteria; Pseudomonadati; Pseudomonadota; Betaproteobacteria; Burkholderiales; Burkholderiaceae
Description: tRNA-Ile
Rfam family: tRNA
About the family: Transfer RNA (tRNA) molecules are approximately 80 nucleotides in length. Their secondary structure includes four short double-helical elements and three loops (D, anti-codon, and T loops).
Source: RNAcentral